UAAAAUUAAACUAAGGGCAGAUGGUGGAUGCCUUGACUGGUAGAGGCGAUGAAGGACGUACUAGGCUGCGAUAAGCCAUGGUGAGCUGCCAAGAAGCUUUGACCCAUGGAUUUCCGAAUGGGGCAACCCGGCAUAUCGAGAGGUAUGUCACCCUGCGGGGAGCGCGUAUAUAAAAACUAAUUACAGAUUAUUCGAGUAGGUCGGGACACGAGAAACCCUGACUGAAUAUGGGGGGACCACCCUCCAAGGCUAAAUACUACUACCAGAUCGAUAGUGAACAAGUACCGUGAGGGAAAGGUGAAAAGAACCGCGGCAAGCGGAGUGAAAUAGAACCUGAAACCAUCUGCCUACAAUCAUUCAGAGCCCCAUGGAGCAAUCCGGGGUGAUGGACUGCCUUUUGCAUAAUGAGCCUGCGAGUUGUGGUGACUAGCGAGGUUAAGGAUACCCGAAGCCGUAGCGAAAGCGAGUCUUAAUAGGGCGUUUAGUUAGUUGCUGCAGACCCGAAACUAAGUGAUCUAUCCAUGGUCAGGUUGAAGCUGGUGUAAGAGCUAGUGGAGGACCGAACCGAUUGGCGUUUAAAAGCCACCGGAUGAACUGUGGAUAGGGGUGAAAGGCCAAUCAAACUUAGUGAUAGCUGGUUCUCUCCGAAAUAUAUUUAGGUAUAGCGUCAUGUUAGAAGUAUAAGGGGGUAGAGCACUGAUUGGGCUAGGGCGUAUACCAAUGUACCAAACCCAGUCAAACUCCGAAUACCUUAUAUGAAUUCAUGGCAGUCAGGCAUAGGGUGAUAAAAUCCUAGGUCAAAAGGGAAACAGCCCAGACUACCGACUAAGGUCCCCAAGUUCUAUUUAAGUGGAAAAGGAUGUGGAGUUGCUUAGACAACCAGGAGGUUGGCUUAGAAG
Molecule: ribosomal RNA, 899 nt
Filed under: Campylobacterales bacterium
Lineage: Bacteria; Pseudomonadati; Campylobacterota; Epsilonproteobacteria; Campylobacterales
Description: partial 23S ribosomal RNA
Rfam family: Bacterial large subunit ribosomal RNA
Source: RNAcentral